RNAcentral lists this ribosomal RNA (253 nucleotides) under uncultured bacterium. RNAcentral describes it as "partial 16S ribosomal RNA". It matches the Rfam family "Bacterial small subunit ribosomal RNA", at positions 524 to 776 of the family's 1533-position model. The record is from RNAcentral.
UACAGAGGGGGCAAGCGUUGUUCGGAAUUACUGAGCGUAAAGGGCGCGUAGGCGGCCUGUUAAGUCGAACGUGAAAUCCCCGGGCUCAACCCGAGAACUGCGUCCGAUACUGGCAGGCUUGAAUCCGGGAGAGGGAUGCGGAAUUCCAGGUGUAGCGGUGAAAUGCGUAGAUAUCUGGAGGAACACCGGUGGCGAAGGCGGCAUCCUGGACCGGCAUUGACGCUGAGGCGCGAAAGCCAGGGGAGCAAACGGG